This 572-nucleotide long non-coding RNA is filed under the name Anser brachyrhynchus (Pink-footed goose). RNAcentral describes it as "lncRNA (ENSABRG00000004258.1)". The record is from RNAcentral. Lineage: Eukaryota; Metazoa; Chordata; Aves; Anseriformes; Anatidae.
UGGGGACAGUGUGGUGCUCUGGAAUCCCUGGAGACCAGGAGCAUGAAUGCAGUUAGAAAUCACAUGAUACAGAAGGCUGAGGUCUCAGCUCUACCACCAAACCCUGCAGAAGCCGUGGGAUCAGCUGGAGAGCCUCUGCAUGCUUGGUGGAUUGACCAUAGGUUAUGAAUACCACUGCCAGGCAACUCCGAGCUGCCUAGGGGAGCAAGGACAUAAUUUGCCCUCAGAGUGUUAUUAUGGAAGUUUGUGUUCACUGAGCUUUUUAUACCCGCCUCACAAGAAGAAAGACCAAAGGGAAAAACUCAGCAUGGAGAGUGAGAAAGAACAACGUGAAGAAAGAAGAAAAACACCCGAGCAGGCUCAGAGGGACCAGAGACUGUACGAGAGCACCGUCACGUCAGACAACAUUGCACUGCUGCGUGGUCAGAGGUGCCGUGUGGCCCUGUGAAAAAACCUUUACCAAGCAAUCAAAAUACAUUUUCAUGCAUUCCAUCUGCUUUGCGGAGUCUAAGCAGGGAUCGGUUUUAAAAAGCAAAUUUUGGAAUAAAAUAGUCUUUGCCUUUAAACCUUCA